GACGAACGCUGGCGGCGUGCUUAACACAUGCAAGUCGAACGGAAAGGCCCUGCUUUUGUGGGGUGCUCGAGUGGCGAACGGGUGAGUAACACGUGAGUAACCUGCCCUUGACUUUGGGAUAACUUCAGGAAACUGUGGCUAAUACCGGAUAGGAGCUCCUGCUGCAUGGUGGGGGUUGGAAAGUUUCGGCGGUUGGGGAUGGACUCGCGGCUUAUCAGCUUGUUGGUGGGGUAGUGGCUUACCAAGGCUUUGACGGGUAGCCGGCCUGAGAGGGUGACCGGCCACAUUGGGAAUGAGAUACGGCCCAGACUCCUACGGGAGGCAGCAGUGGGGAAUAUUGCACAAUGGGCGGAAGCCUGAUGCAGCAACGCCGCGUGCGGGAUGACGGCCUUCGGGUUGUAAACCGCUUUCGCCUGUGACGAAGCGUGAGUGACGGUAAUGGGUAAAGAAGCACCGGCUAACUACGUG
This 468-nucleotide ribosomal RNA is filed under the name uncultured bacterium. RNAcentral's name for it is "partial 16S ribosomal RNA". It matches the Rfam family "Bacterial small subunit ribosomal RNA", at positions 28 to 507 of the family's 1533-position model. The record is from RNAcentral.